Molecule: ribosomal RNA, 1100 nt
Filed under: uncultured bacterium
Lineage: Bacteria
Description: bacterial SSU rRNA
Rfam family: Bacterial small subunit ribosomal RNA
Source: RNAcentral
GAUGAACGCUGGCGGCGUGCUUAACACAUGCAAGUCGAACGGUGAAGCCAAGCUUGCUUGGUGGAUCAGUGGCGAACGGGUGAGUAACACGUGAGCAACCUGCCCUGGACUCUGGGAUAAGCGCUGGAAACGGCGUCUAAUACUGGAUAUGAGACGUGAUCGCAUGGUCAACGUUUGGAAAGAUUUUUCGGUCUGGGAUGGGCUCGCGGCCUAUCAGCUUGUUGGUGAGGUAAUGGCUCACCAAGGCGUCGACGGGUAGCCGGCCUGAGAGGGUGACCGGCCACACUGGGACUGAGACACGGCCCAGACUCCUACGGGAGGCAGCAGUGGGGAAUAUUGCACAAUGGGCGGAAGCCUGAUGCAGCAACGCCGCGUGAGGGAUGACGGCCUUCGGGUUGUAAACCUCUUUUAGCAGGGAAGAAGCGAAAGUGACGGUACCUGCAGAAAAAGCGCCGGUUAACUACGUGCCAGCAGCCGCGGUAAUACGUAGGGCGCAAGCGUUAUCCGGAAUUAUUGGGCGUAAAGAGCUCGUAGGCGGUUUGUCGCGUCUGCUGUGAAAUCCCGAGGCUCAACCUCGGGCCUGCAGUGGGUACGGGCAGACUAGAGUGCGGUAGGGGAGAUUGGAAUUCCUGGUGUAGCGGUGGAAUGCGCAGAUAUCAGGAGGAACACCGAUGGCGAAGGCAGAUCUCUGGGCCGUAACUGACGCUGAGGAGCGAAAGGGUGGGGAGCAAACAGGCUUAGAUACCCUGGUAGUCCACCCCGUAAACGUUGGGAACUAGUUGUGGGGACCAUUCCACGGUUUCCGUGACGCAGCUAACGCAUUAAGUUCCCCGCCUGGGGAGUACGGCCGCAAGGCUAAAACUCAAAGGAAUUGACGGGGACCCGCACAAGCGGCGGAGCAUGCGGAUUAAUUCGAUGCAACGCGAAGAACCUUACCAAGGCUUGACAUACACCAGAACGGGCCAGAAAUGGUCAACUCUUUGGACACUGGUGAACAGGUGGUGCAUGGUUGUCGUCAGCUCGUGUCGUGAGAUGUUGGGUUAAGUCCCGCAACGAGCGCAACCCUCGUUCUAUGUUGCCAGCACGUAAUGGUGGGAACU